GACCCGAAACCGAGUGACCUAUCCAUGUGCAGGUUGAAGCGGGAGUAAAAUCACGUGGAGGACCGAACCCACUUCUGUUGAAAAAGGAGGGGAUGACGUGUGGAUAGCGGAGAAAUUCUAAUCGAACUCGGAGAUAGCUGGUUCUCCCCGAAAUAGCUUUAGGGCUAGCCUUGUCUUAGUUUAACGGAGGUAAAGCACUGAAUAGGCUAGGGGCCGUAUAGGUUACCGAACCUUAUCAAACUCAGAAUGCCGUAUAAAUGAUGGACAGGAGUCAGACUAUGGGAGAUAAGUUUCAUAGUCAAAAGGGAAACAGCCCAGACCUACAGCUAAGGUCCCAAAAUGGAUUUAAGUGGAAAAGGAUGUCGAGAUGCAAAAACAACCAGGAUGUUGGCUUAGAAGCAGCCACACAUUAAAAGAGUGCGUAAUAGCUCACUGGUCGAGUGACUCGGCGCCGAAGAUGUAACGGGGCUAAAAUCCAUACCGAAGCUUAGGCAGUAGAAAUACUGGGUAGGGGAGCAUUGUGUAGUAGGGAGAAGUCACUCUGAAAGGAGUGGUGGACAAAGCACAAGAGAGAAUGCCGGAAUGAGUAGCGAGAAUUAUGUGAGAAUCAUAAUGGUCGAAAACCUAAGGUUUCUUGAGGAAGGUUCGUCCGCUCAAGGUAAGCCGGGAGCUAAGGCGAGGCCGAAAGGCGUAGUCGAUGCACAUACGGUUAAAAUUCCGUAGCCACCGUAGUCGCUAAUGCAGUAAGGGACGCAGGAACGGAGCCAGACCCCACCGUUGGUAGAGUGGGGCGUAAGGGAGCGAAAUUAAAGUAGCGAAGCUGGCGCAAGUACACUGACGAGAAAAGCUUAUUGUAUUGACGAAGGUGCCCGUACCGUAAACCGACACAGGUAGGUGAGGAGAGAAUCCUAAGACCAACGGGAGAAAUGUUGUUAAGGAACUCGGCAAAAUUACCUCGUAACUUCGGGAGAAGAGGUGCCGGCUAAGGCCGGCCGCAGAGAAUAGGCCCAAGCGACUGUUUAGCAAAAACACAGGUCUCUGCUAAGUCGAAAGACGACGUAUAGGGGCUGACGCCUGCCCGGUGCUGGAAGGUUAAGGGGAAGAGUUAGGGGUAACCCGAAGCUUAGAACCGAAGCCCCAGUAAACGGCGGCCGUAACUAUAACGGUCCUAAGGUAGCGAAAUUCCUUGUCAGGUAAGUUCUGACCCGCACGAAUGGCGUAACGAUUUGGGCGCUGUCUCAACAACAUGCCCGGCGAAAUUGUAGUACCGGUGAAGAUGCCGGUUACCCGCGACAAGACGGAAAGACCCCAUGGAGCUUUACUGUAACCUGAUACUGGAUUUUGAUAUUUUAUGUACAGGAUAGGUGGGAGGCAGAGAACCAAGGACGCCAGUCUUUGGGGAGCCGCUGUUGGGAUACCACUCUUAAAAUAUCGGAAUUCUAACCGGACGCCGUGAAACCGGUGACGGGACAAUGUCAGGUGGACAGUUUGACUGGGGCGGUCGCCUCCUAAAAGGUAGCGGAGGCGUUCAAAGGUUGGCUCAGUACGGACGGAAAUCGUACAAAGAGUGCCAACGCAAAAGCCAGUCUAACUGCGAGACAGACACGUCGAGCAGUAACGAAAGUUGGAGUUAGUGAUCCGGGGGUAGAGAGUGGAAUUGCCGGUCGCUCACCGGAAUACAGUUACCCUGGGGGAUACCGGGCUUAAUCUCCCCCAAGAGUCCACAUCGA
RNAcentral lists this ribosomal RNA (1730 nucleotides) under human gut metagenome. Its description in RNAcentral is "bacterial LSU rRNA". It matches the Rfam family "Bacterial large subunit ribosomal RNA", at positions 712 to 2508 of the family's 2925-position model. The record is from RNAcentral.